Molecule: long non-coding RNA, 1381 nt
Organism: Phyllostomus discolor (pale spear-nosed bat)
Lineage: Eukaryota; Metazoa; Chordata; Mammalia; Chiroptera; Phyllostomidae
Exons: 2
Source: RefSeq, a predicted model, not a curated record
CUGUUUUGAAAUACAAUGUCACUAAGUGAAAAGCCUUCACAGACAAGCUGAAUUUCAAUUUUAAAAAUACAACCAAUCUCAGAAGCAAAGGAAAUGAGUGCCCUGUUAACAUCUCAUGAACAUAUAUUCCCUGAUAAUGCAUAAUCGGGCUGGCAGCCCUUACAGCAUUUUAGAUAGCCGAUUAUUAGAAGAGGUAGGGUUUUAUAAUUAGGCCCUCCUGUUAGCUGAGAAGAAUUGCCAAGACUCAUUCUUGAUAUGGACAUCUUUAAAACACAAGCAAUCACCUUCCAACACAUGCUGAGAUACGAAGUUGCUGUAGUCUACAUUUGCUAUUAUUAGAUGGGGAUGGGAGGGGGACUGGAUACAAUUAAGUGUAUCACAUGAACCAUUUUCAAUAAGCUAGACUCAUUUUUUUUAACCCAACCACAUUUAGUAAUUUUAUCCUAUUAGAAUUUUUAUAUGAUUUUUGACAUUCAGAUUAAUUCCCCUGCUGUUUCAGUAUGUAAUGCAAUCUACAUCACAACGAAACCAUGGUAACUGUCAUUUAUUUUGCUAUAAACUCAGGUCUUGAAAUGAUUUAUAUAGACCAUCUGAUUUUCACCCAAUCACUAGUUUACAGUUUUUCUAUGUUAUCAAUUCUCAUAGCCACUUUGCCGGUUUUAAGGGCCCAAUUUAUGCAGAGCUAUUUCAACUUUUAUAGCUUAGGAAUUUCAGACCAAAAAUAUAUUAACUGUGCUUUCACACUUCAUUCCUCUUUCUUCUACACUGUACAUUUACCCACAACUCUAAAUUCAAAUUUUCUGCUUUUCCAUGACUUCAUUUAUACAGGGAGAUGAAAUAUGCCAUUAAACAACAAAGAACACCACCAGCAGAAAAAUCAUCUUCUUCAUGUUUAAGAUAUGAAUUGAAAAAAUGGAUUGUAUCUGCUCAUAGGAUGAGUCUUGAAAACUGAUCAUUAGGAAAGAAAAUGUUUUAUAUUUGCAUUUGACCCUCAUUCAGAAUUUCACCUCCAUAUUAUAGCAUUUCCUCAACUUUUCAGCAAUUUUAGUCUUCGGACUUUGGUGAACUACAAACUUUACUAAUCCCUACUUUAUUUGAAGUUUGUUCUAUACAAGUCUGUGCUUAUUAAGAGAGCUUUGUCUAUGUCAACUAUAUAUCAGCUAUCUUAAUUUUUUAAAAAGUGCUCUGUCAAUUUUCCCAAACCAUUUUAUACAGUAGCUCUGCCGUUUUGAAUUUUAAGUGAGACUGCUCAUGAGAAGAGACCAAUUUUCACUUCUCAGAAAACAUGCUUUGCUCCCACUGUACUCCCGGAGUGCUCUGCACGUAGAAGGAUCUCAAUAAAGGCAUCACAGCCUACUUCCUGUCUAGAGGAACAGGCACA